Molecule: long non-coding RNA, 8214 nt
Organism: Mercenaria mercenaria
Lineage: Eukaryota; Metazoa; Mollusca; Bivalvia; Venerida; Veneridae
Exons: 4
Source: RefSeq, a predicted model, not a curated record
UAUUACACUACUUGAAGUUACACACUAUGUAAAUAGUAAAGAUAAAUCUUUAUCUCAUCCCGAAACUCUGGUAUGAUAUAAUUAUUAUAUUUAGAGUGUGAUUUGGAUGAAAUAAUAAUUCUCUUCAGACAGGAUCUGUCAGUGAGAUGGGUGGUAAUGGAGUGUGGAGCGGAAUCAAGGACGAUUUCAAAGAAUUAACUGGAACAUUCUGUUGUUGUCUGAUAGAGUCGGAUCAAUUCCUAGGAUGCAUGCCUAAACUAUUUUUAGCUAUUCAGUUUCUGACACUGAUAUUGCAGUUGGUAGGAACUUUUACACACCAUUGGAUAUAUACAGCAGAUUGCAAAAACAUAGGCCUGAAAUCGACUUGCACAGAUAAUGAGUUUAAUUCCUCGGCAAACACUACACAAAUAAUUAACGUCAUAAAGCUUGAAAACGGAGACGACUUGUUUGGGCUACAAACAGCUUCAUUCUCCAUGAACAUACUCUGCCUGGUUAUAGCGGCAAUGACAUUGUGGCGUGUGCAUGCAGUUGACAAGGAAAGUAAGACCUCAGUUCAAACAAGUUGCUUCACUUGCGUGCUGCCACUGAUGUGUAUGAUUUCAGGUUUCCUUAAUUUCAUCGCAUGUAUGGUGGUGACAGGCACGGAGUAUAGUUUGGGUUAUUCAUUCUACUUGUGUCUUAGCUCUGGCAUUUUACUGAUGAUCAUAUCUAUUAUAUCAGUCAUUGGAUACUGUUGCGUGAAAAGUAACUGUUGCGACUUUUAGAAACAAAAUAGAAAAUUAUACAUAAGUCAACAUAAACUGUAUGGAAACCGUCUAUUAUCUAAAAUCCAAUUAUGUAUUGAAUCGUUAGUUCUUCCCUAUUAAUGGGUUGAUGUUAACAGUUACACAAUGAAAGACGCUCCCUAUCUUAUAUUGUCUAUCUUGGGGGGAAAGUUACAUUGUUAUACUGUCAGACUAUAAGGAUCUUACAUGCCUGCCUGUGUAAGACGGGGUUUUCCCCACAGUUCCAAUCUAACGGAUCCUUAUGGUAUAGCAUUUAUAUAGUAAGAAAAAAGAAAAGGUAGGACACUUCCGAAUACCCAUAUUCUCUUAUUCAUUAAUAGCGAGCUCGAAGAGCAGGCCCGAAGGGCCUGCUCGAGAAUCGAGCUUUACGGUAACGCAAGUAUACUUCCACACUUGGUGAUGGAUUUGAAAAGUUUCGUCGGAAGUUCUUAAAAAGCGCACCCUAACGGAUAGGUGCUCACAGGAAGUACUUCUUUCCGGAGUGAAUGCAGAACUUUGAACAUUCAAUUGCUAAAAAAUAUUCAUCACUCAACAAUAAUGAAAGAAUGCUUUCCAGUUGUUUGAAAAAAAAUAUUGUUUUCAUUUAAAAGAUCAAGCAUCGGCCAGAAAAUGGAAAAAAAUUCAUUAAUUAGCAGCGGUAAUGACGUCACCGUGACACCGGCUUCCCAUAAUUUUUGCAACGUAUGAUAUUCACUGUUACAGGUAUGAUGACACUAAAUGUAGACUUUUCAAGUGAAUGGGUUCUCCUGAAUUCUUGUGAGUAGGGAAUAGUGUCUUUGUGACAAAUAAAUGAUGCAUAAUAUUUUUAGCUCAAUCCGAAUUUUUUGAGCUCGCUUUGAGGCUUUGCCUUAUUUCAUAUUAGCGAGCUCGAAGAGCAGGCCCGAAGCUUUACGGUAACGCAAGUAUACUUGCACACUUGGUGAUGGAUUUGAAAAGUUUCGUCGGAAGUUUUUAAAAAGCGCACCCUAGCGGAUAGGUGCUCACGGGAAGUACUUCUUUCCGGAGUGAAUACAGAACUUCAUUCAAUUGCUAAAAAUAUUCAUCACUCAACAAUAAUGAAAGAAUGAUUUCCAUUUGUUUGAAAAAAAAUAUUGUUUUCAUUUAAAAGAUCAAGCAUCGUCCAGAAAAUGGAAAACAUGUCAUUAAUAAGCAGAAAGAAACGGAAACGCGGUAAUGACGUCACCGUGACACCGGCUUCCCAUAAAUUUUGCAACGUAUGAUAUUCACUGUUACAGGUAUGGUGACACUAAAUGUAGACUUUUUCAAGUGAAUAGGUUCUCCUGAAUUCUUGUGACUAGUGAAUAGUUUCUUUGUGACAAAUAAAUGAUGCAUAAUAUUUUUAGCUAAAUCCGAUUUCUUUGAGCUCGCUUUGAGGCUUUGCCUUAUUUCAUAUUAUAUGAUCGAUUUCAAUAGAAUAAAAUUUAAACGUUAGUUGGAAAUAUUGGAAAUACCUCGGCUAUAUACCUUCAUCAUCAUUACUUCAAUAGAAAUAAAUGGAAAAAAAAAUAGCGGCAAACAAUAAUAAACAAAAAUGUCAAUUCAGUUUGACGAACUAAGGAGCGCUGCUAAGCGUGGCCACAACAUUAUUAUAUCGGACCAAGCCGGUACAGAAGAUAAUUUUUUCAAUUUAUUUUCACGAAAUUUUAUACCUUCGAUAUCGAAGGUUUAUUUUUGACCACCGCAAUAAGGACUACAAAUUCACUCCGUUGCAAACCGGAUGUAUACAAGCAGGGAAGAUGUAGAAAUCUGAAGUUCGUGGAAAAUCGCUGAUUUCUUUAAAAAUACUGUAUUGAUAAAGGUUAAACUUAUGCCGUAGGUUUAUUACAAUAAUAUCAAUUAAUUAAGUGUAUCGUUUGAACCGUCCGUUCUAUAUUAGCUUCAAACCAGAUUUGGUGUUUCGGAAGUGUCCUACCUUUUCUUUUCUUACUAUAUAAUGCUAUACCAUAAGGAUACCGUUAGAUGGGGCCUAUGAAUAGGUUUGGGUAUUUCCUGACAUUAUUUAUAAAGUUUAUGACGACACAACAGGGGCAGUACUAUGUGACGUCACCUUAGUGCACGCUAUUUUAGACAAGGUUUUUCCCUAGGAAAAGACAGGAAUAUCUAUCCCCGGCGCGUGCUCGGACAAAUGUAUACGUUCCCCGCUAGGUAGGCAAGAAAGGGAGGAUCUUACGUUGUCUAUCUGUCAACAUAAUACUGAGGGUUUUAUAAUGUCUAACUGUUAACACAUUACUAAGAAGGAAUUGAUAUAAUUUACCUCAAUUAAUGCAUUGACUGAAAAAAUUGUAAGACCCUUGCUAUGAACGUGUUGAAAAAAAAAAACAGACAAGAUUCUCAUUAUCAAUGUGUUGAAAGUGAUACAAAAUAAAACCCUUCCUGUUAUUGAAUUAACAGACAGACAUUGUAAGAUUCUCACUAAAAAUGUAUUGAAAGAUAGACAUUGUAAUAGCCUUGCUAUUAAUGCAUUUGGCAGAUAUACAUUCUCGCCAAUCUGACUAAAGUACUUGAUCUUCUAAAGGAAAAAAUCUGAGAAUGACCCAUUCACAUUCGUCUUCUGUAUAUUUUGUAUUUCCAAUAUUGCUAUUUUUAUUUUCGCAAAUCUGUUUUUAUUUGAACCAAUCAGACGACUUGUUCGAAUGUCAAAGAGUAAGAAAAAAUUGCAAUCAGACCGGGGCUCGAACCCGGGACCCCUCGCUUACAGAGCAAGUGCCCUACAGACUGAUCUCACCGGCCAUCUGACUGUUUACGUAAUAAGAAUUGUAAAUAUGAAAAAUCCAGGCUAAAUAUAGAUUUGCAAAAUGUUGUAAGGUAAGCUCUGAUUGACUAGCGAAAGGGUCGUCAGAACGAGGCUAUCAAUAGCUCGUCUUCAGGUCCUAAGCGUAGCGUAAUAGGAGAUGUACUUUAGUCAGAUUGGCAUUCUCGCUAUUCAUGUAUUGACAGAUAAACAGUGUAAUAUCCUCGCUAUUAAUGUAUUGACAGAUAUACAUUGUAAUAUCCUCGCUAUUAAUGUAUUGACAGAUAGACAUUGUAAUAUCCUUGCUAAUAAUAUAUUGACAUAUAGGCAUUGUAAGAUUUUCUUUGUUUAUUUGUUGACAGUGAUACAAUGUAAGACUCCUCCUUUAAUUGUGUUGAUAGAAAGACAAUGUAAUAUCCUCGCUAUUAAUAUUAAAAUGAAAUUGUUCCUGGUUAUUGCAUUAGACACAAAAAGACAACCCCAUGUAAAUUUAAUUUAAGGCCUAUGCUAUUUUGAAAUUAUGAAUUAGGUGGGUGGGGUACAUGAUAUUAUUUCUGAUUAAUUUCGAAGUUACUGUAAAACAAACGUUAUUCCAAUGUGACAAUACAUCAAAACCAUGAAGUGCUGAACUCUUACUUUAAUUUAAAAAGUAAAGUGGGAAAAGUUAUCAGUAUGUUCGUGUCACAAUUUUCGGGGUAAGUAUUCUAUGUCAUCGUGCAUAACUGCGAAAAACUAUAACAUACAUAAUAAAGCUAAACUAUCCGUGUAAAUGAGCUGAGAGCUAUUUUUCUAUUUCCGUUUAUUACUUUUCUAAAAAACACAUUACAAUUUACCAGGUGUUGGCAAAAUUUGUCAUUUUUGUGCACAUGCCUUUACACAUUAAAGGAGUCCGAACUAUAGGUAUGGUGUGCGAGAGGGGCCUGAGCGCUUACGUAGUGCUCAUUUACAGGAAUUGUACUGCUCAUAUAUAUAUGAAUUUUAUAGGUAGAUACAAUUAUUUAAGUCAUUGUUGUACAUUUGGAGCAAAUCGGUCCUAUUCUGAAAUAUGUUAAUUUAUAUACUACGGUAAAAGCCAAUCAAUGAAUUCCUUUUAUACCGUUGAACCAAUCGUGAAACGGCAUCUUCCUUCUUCGUCAGCAUUCAAGAGUGAAUAGCACGCUUCUUUCUUUAAUUUUAUUUUGGCUAAUUUCUGGUUUUAUCUUACCACCACAUGCCAUUCCGCCUCCUCUUUCAAGUGACAAUUUUCUAAUUUUGAAAGAUUUCUCUUAAUAUGCAAAUUCAUCUACAUUUCUUGAUAUGCUUUCGGCGGUUAUAUCCGCCCUAAUAUGUGAAUGUAUAUAUUUGUCAUGGUAUUGGACUGUAACUCCAUUCAGAUAUGAGAACAUAUCUAUUUGUUAAGGACGGUAUGUUUCGCCCAGAUAUGUGAAAAUAUAAAUUUGUUAAGGUAUUUUUCGGCGGUAUUUUCUGCCCAGACAUGUGAAAAUAUAUAUAUUUUUUUAAUGUAUUGUUUUGCAAUGGCGGUAUUUUUCGCUCAGAUAUGUGAAAAUAUAUAUUUGUUAAGCGGUAUUUUUCGCCCAGAUAUGUGAAAAUAUAUAUUUGUUAAGGUAUUGUUCGGCAAAAUAAAUAUUGCCCUUUUUCAGUCAACACUUAGUUCACUCUUACAUUUUCCCAUACAUAGUCCUUAGGGUCAGUGCUUCGUUGUGAACAGAUGCACAUAAAUAACUUUAUCAUAAGUCCGCAAAGUGCAACAAAAGAAAUAGCAGUAUUAAUUUUGUAAUAAUAUUAUUUAUUUACAAGGUAUGUCUGACAAAUGACAUCGAGAAUUCUAACUUUAGAAAGCUGCAUUUUCAAGUACCUGAAUUUUUCCACUUUGGUUAAAAAGAGUUUUUUUCACAAUAGAUAAUGACUGACUACAGAAGGUAAUAAAAAUACCAUUGACCUAGAGAAUGCUACAACCUACUUAACUUCAGAGUUUGUUUAAAAUUAUAUUGAACACGUUUGCUUUAAUUUAAGGUGAAACAUAAACUAGAACUCUAUGAUAAAAAUCGAAUAAAUCAUUUCGAACAUGUUAGACAGCGAGAAAGCAAACAUAUCGUACGUAUUAUUUAGCAUGGAUGAUUUGAACUGUGAAUAUAUACUUUUUACACUUAACAUUUAAUUCCACGAGUAUACACACAUAUACAUAUAUAUUUACCUUUACCCUUUAUACAAUAGGAAUAUAUUUGUUUUACCUGUAAGAUUAAAGCAUAACCCCUCGUGAACAAAUAAUGCAUGUGGCUUUCACUGUUGAUAUAUAAUUGUAAUAUUAUAUUUUGACGUUACACUGAAACAAACAAACCCUUUUUGCAUAUUCAUUUAUAUAAAACAAACAAACAAAAACGGGAACAAUGUUUAUUUUGUUCGAUUGUGGGUAACACCGAAACGACACAAUGAACUUUUCCCAGGUUUUGUUGGUGGUGAAAGGCUCCAGGGGUCCCUCCAAGACAUUUUUUGAGGCUCAGACUAGUACCUAGAUCGAGACACUAACCUCAGUUGGAUGGCUUCCUUACGUGAAAAGUUUCACACCUCAAGUGGGUUUUUGAUCCCACGUCGGUGAUUGGCGAGGAAUUCGAAGCCAGCGACCAUGACCAUCAAGUUUUUCUUUUGCAAGUAUAAAAAAUAAAUAUUCAAUUAAAUUUCGUAAACAUAACUGACAAUGACAUUUACCACGUCGGAAGUUACAAAUGGUUUGCCGAAUACACCAUACUUUUAAAUACAGAAGUUUACACACCAUGUUGGUCGGAAAGCACGAAAUUUACGUUCUUGAACGUAUAUGUGAAUAGUUACUUUUGAAAUGUAAACAAAGACAUAAAAGUAACUGUUUUCAUGUUCGUGGUAAGGAUCGACUUGUGAUUGUCAAUGUUCCCGAUACGGAAUAUAUAUGAAUGUAUAAACACGAGCCGUUUCAUCUUACAGGACUUACAAGAACAUAGUAAGCGGUUGUUUAUUUAUUGUAUUUAUGUUCUAGUAACCUUUGACACUGAUUUCGAGGACAGGCCGGGUUUGUGACAUAUACAUGUCUGUUGUUGGGCUGGAAAAAAAUAGAUCCAAAAUUUAUACUAAAAGCUAUAUUGCAUAAAUGUUUCGUUAUUUCUGUGCAUACAAUUCGGUUGUUUGAAGGUUAGAAUAUCAGAAAAUUACAGGAAAUAAAACAUGUCUUUGAAAAAGUACCGAUCUUUCAUCAUUUGUUUGGUUGGCGCAUGAUUACAAAUUUAAUGUUAGUAGGCCGUGAUGUCCAUGAAGCCGUGUAAAGUGAUAAUUUUGAUGACACGUUGGUUUUAUUUUGUAAUUGUGAGUGAUCGUUAAGUGAUCAGAAAGAUCGGACAGUGGGAUGUUAUAAAAAAGUAAUGUUUUAUUUAGAUUAGAAAGUCAAUCGUACUCUACAAUAAGGAAAUCUAAGGUAAAAUACUCCUUUUAUUUCGUUCACUGAAGAAAACAUGGCGGACACAGUUUUGUAAAAGAGCGGUGCACGUGUGAUUCGUGUAACAUAGUUUAACGGCGUUUUCUUAGAAAGCUAACGCUCAGCUCAUUUACACUGACAUAUCAUUGAUUGAAGAAUAUAUAUAUUGUAUAUAUAUGAGAGACUUACGGUACCAAAUACUUACCCCGAAAAUUUCUAUGCAUUUUCUUCUAGUGCACUGUUGGGACAUGUUUUUGAGUGUCAUUGAUACUUUAUAAUUUAUUCGGAGAUACAUUUUCUUAUAAUUAUUAGUUUCUUUUUGAUCCCCGUGCAUUUCUCGCGUUGUUACGACAAUCUCAGUUUUACAUACGAAUUUUGCAUUGUCGAAAUAGCAUAGUCCUUAAAAUGUUGUUUGUACAUGCAUUACUGACCACAGGUAGCCAGGUAAACCUAUACAUAAUCCUAUAAUAUCACCUGUUUAUAUACAUGUAAAUUAUGUGUGAACAGAUAACACAAAUUGGAUAAAUUGAUGGUCUUGGGAUUUUUGUGUAUAAUUCUGUAAUCAGGUAAAAUUUCAAAAAAAAAUCUGAAGACUUUAUUCUUCACGGUCUGCUUUACAAUUGGCUGUAAUUAUCUUUGAAAUGUAUGGGAUAUAUAUUGAGUUUGACUGCAGAUAAAAUUGCAAAAUUUUGUCAUAGAAAAAUAUCGAAUGAAGGCAUAAUACAGGUAGUGAAAUGCACAUCCUUCUACUUGCAUAUGUUCACAUAGAUAUUUAAAACAUAAUUAUGACAAAUUUAUUGACUUUAUUGUUACCACUUAGUCAUCUUUAAUUUUUAUGGAAAUUUGCACGUAAAAUUUGUAGUCAAAUGGCUGCCACUGUAGGCGAUGCCUUAAGACAGCUAAAUAGUGAAUAAUCUGUAUGAAUAACUAGCAAAUCAUUUCCAUAUCAACACAUAUCUUGAAAUAUCGAUUAACGUUUUAAAAACUGAAGCAGAGUUUAUAUAAAGAACUAAAUUUUAUAUUUAGCUCCUGUGCUCAAGAAAAAGCUAAAAUUAAAUAUGAUACAAAAGACAUGGUAUGGUAUCUGAACUUAUUCGUCCUCCACCUCUGAUCCAUGCUGAACGAAGGAUAAGUGUGCACUCGCACUAAAAAAGUGACAAUUUUUAGCAAAUACCAUUUCUGCAUUACAUUUAAUUAUAUUGAGUAUCUUUUCAUAUUGAUUUUUUAACUAGGUUGAAUAAAAUGUGAGAUUCGGUGUA